Molecule: ribosomal RNA, 399 nt
Filed under: uncultured Delftia sp.
Lineage: Bacteria; Pseudomonadati; Pseudomonadota; Betaproteobacteria; Burkholderiales; Comamonadaceae
Description: bacterial SSU rRNA
Rfam family: Bacterial small subunit ribosomal RNA
Source: RNAcentral
AUGGGCGAAAGCCUGAUCCAGCAAUGCCGCGUGCAGGAUGAAGGCCUUCGGGUUGUAAACUGCUUUUGUACGGAACGAAAAAGCUUCUCCUAAUACGAGAGGCCCAUGACGGUACCGUAAGAAUAAGCACCGGCUAACUACGUGCCAGCAGCCGCGGUAAUACGUAGGGUGCGAGCGUUAAUCGGAAUUACUGGGCGUAAAGCGUGCGCAGGCGGUUAUGUAAGACAGAUGUGAAAUCCCCGGGCUCAACCUGGGAACUGCAUUUGUGACUGCAUGGCUAGAGUACGGUAGAGGGGGAUGGAAUUCCGCGUGUAGCAGUGAAAUGCGUAGAUAUGCGGAGGAACACCGAUGGCGAAGGCAAUCCCCUGGACCUGUACUGACGCUCAUGCACGAAAGCGU